RNAcentral lists this ribosomal RNA (272 nucleotides) under uncultured bacterium. RNAcentral describes it as "partial 16S ribosomal RNA". It matches the Rfam family "Bacterial small subunit ribosomal RNA", at positions 71 to 339 of the family's 1533-position model. The record is from RNAcentral.
AGGAUUCGUCCAAUUGAAGCAGAGGACAGUGGCGGACGGGUGAGUAACGCGUGAGCAACCUGCCCAUAAGAGGGGGACAACAGUUGGAAACGACUGCUAAUACCGCAUAAGACCACGCUAUCGCAUGAUAGAGGGGUCAAAGAAAUAUCGCUUAUGGAUGGGCUCGCGUCCCAUUAGGUAGUUGGUGAGGUAACGGCCCACCAAGCCGACGAUGGGUAGCCGACCUGAGAGGGUGAUCGGCCACAUUGGAACUGAGACACGGCCCAAACUCC